This 77-nucleotide transfer RNA is filed under the name candidate division WWE3 bacterium RIFCSPHIGHO2_01_FULL_40_23. RNAcentral's name for it is "tRNA-Pro". It matches the Rfam family "tRNA". Rfam says of the family: Transfer RNA (tRNA) molecules are approximately 80 nucleotides in length. Their secondary structure includes four short double-helical elements and three loops (D, anti-codon, and T loops). Lineage: Bacteria; candidate division WWE3. RNAcentral also lists the same sequence under 1 other name. The record is from RNAcentral.
CGGGGUGUAGCUCAGUUGGCUAGAGCGCUACGUUUGGGACGUAGAAGUCGGAGGUUCAAGUCCCCCCACCCCGACCA